GAUAUUUCGAGCUGCCAAAUUGGUAUCUGUAGCACCUAAAUAGAACUAAAGAGCUGGAUGAUAAUACGAGCUUCUCACUGAUCGUCCUAGGCUUUCUUCUCGCGUCGAGACAUCUUGAUCAAGAGUUCAUAUUAGUGGUAUAAGAUUUGGUAUAUAGUAUCUGGAUUGUUGGAUGAGGGUUCACAAGGUCCGCACUGUCAGCAGUAACAGUUCAUGUGACAAGUUUUACGAAGUUCCAUGGAGUUGCAAAAACUCCAACAAAGACGAUUGUGCGUAAUCUGAAAGAAUACAUGGAGAAGAAGGGCUUACCAAAAGGGUUGGCUCUAGAGAGCUGCAAUAUUCUCGAAACUGCAGGACAUGGGGUAGUUGCUCCUCUUCACCAGACGCUGCAAUCUGCCAUUAAUGGGAAUGAUUCAGCAUUGCCAAAUUCUAGGACAGUUAUUUGGAUUUGAGGGAGAUCGCGUCAGCUUUUGAAAACGGGUUCUUAUAUUAAGGAAGCACAUUUCUGGUUUAGCUAAUUGUCACUCACAUAGAGCGGGAGGUUGAGCAACUUCUUUGGAAAAAAAUCUGGUGGCAAACAAGAAGAAAGGAAAGCUCGAACCAUAUGGGUGUCA
Spinacia oleracea (spinach) is the source of this 614-nucleotide long non-coding RNA. RefSeq lists it as uncharacterized. The record is from RefSeq and is a predicted model, not a curated record. The transcript is spliced from 4 exons. NCBI's taxonomy places the organism in Eukaryota, Viridiplantae, Streptophyta, Magnoliopsida, Caryophyllales, Amaranthaceae.